This is a non-coding RNA of Zootoca vivipara (common lizard), 4599 nucleotides long. The record is from RefSeq and is a predicted model, not a curated record. Lineage: Eukaryota; Metazoa; Chordata; Lepidosauria; Squamata; Lacertidae.
CUCUGGAUUUUAUUACCAAGUGUUUGCGUGAAACAAACUCAUUUUAAGACUGAUAGAAAAUCAGAUGUUGGGGUGUGUAAUAGCACUGUUUCCAAGAAAAAUGAAGCAAAUGGGCUGAUAUUGAAUUGUGGGGGGAGACAGAAAAGGGAUCUAAAGCUCUGAGCAUGGGAUGAAUAAGCGAGCACCAGAAAUUUCUGCUUCUGUUUCCAUUUUGAAUGGAAUUCUAUGACACCCCAUUGGAAUUCUCCAAGCUCAACGCAUGAUCUAGCACAUUCCUCCAAGCUCCAUCUCCGAACUGUCAAGUUUCACUUUAGCUCUGUUCAUGGCAAUGGCGUUUUUCAAAAUCAAUUGCCAGACACAACCAUAAAUCCAAUGAAAUAGUAGGGUAGGGGGCACUACAGAUGAGUUUAUGGAAUCCAGAUGAAAAAAAGUGAGAAACCGAGAGAAAUCAAAAUUGAGAGAUUCGCCCAACCCUUCUCAGAUUAUAUACAUUUUAUGCAAAAGUCCAUGAAAGAAUCCGAACACCAUAGUUUAAAACUACUGCUAGAGGACAAGAAUCCCAAGACUACAUUAAAUGUAGCCAAAUUCUGUGUGUCUGCAAUCAAUCGCAGGAAGCAAGUGGUAUCCCAUAAUGAUCAAACUCCUAAAUGCUAACUACAGGGGAUCCAUCCGCGAAGAGGUCCCCUCCUUUGCUCCAUCAAAGCUCUUGCCAGGCUUUUCACUCAACAGAAGAGAAGGGAAACUUUACUGAGCAUCUGCAGAUGCAGAGUUAGAGCAGAAUUAACAGUCCUCUGAGGUGACAUGCCCUGAACAGUGACUCCCACAGAAGCACAGUCCGUUGGCUCCGUUGAGGAUGGAGAAUUCUUCUAACAUUCAUGCUAAAAUUAAAAUAUUUUCAGGUGCAGUAGUGAAAUAUAUCCUACAUAAAAAGAAACGCUUCCUUUUUCAACAUCUAUUGGAGUGAUAGACAUUGAUACGCAAUAUUGUACAUCAAAAGCUUGCACAAUAUGAGCAUGUGUAAGAGUCUCUUUUCAGGGGAAUUUAAAUUUUUGAAUACUGAUUAUUUUGCCUUUCACAGCCAAGACAGGAGCAACCUUCUGAAUCAGAGACAGUGACGUCGUGUUUUCUGACAUUAAACUGAGAGCCCUGUGAUGGAAAACAUUCUACAGAACAAACCACUACGGCGAUGAGGGACGUCAGCAUGAUUUCAUUCAGUGGUUAUGUAGGUCUAUUUGCUUGAUCUGCUAACACAUUAUUGCUAAACUGAACAUUUGGGGUUUACGGAUUUUUGCAAUCAAGCAUGCUGGAAGAGGAAGAGCGUUCCUACUGCACUGAUUACUUCUUUUUCUUAAAUGUCUACUUUUGUUCCAGAAUAUUUUGGCACACAUUGUUCUCCUGGAGAUGAGCUUAGGGACUUCCGCAUCCAGAAUUGAGAGCUGUGUCUCGUUCCUUUUGUUGGGCACAACACUGAACAGGUUGGCACAGCUGUCAGUUCUGACAGCUCCAGUGACUUGUGUAAGUUUGUGAGAGCAGGGACUGAAUCUGUCCCCGCCCCAUGAAAAAACAACAGGGCAGAUGUUCCAACCUAGAGAUGCAACACCUAUCCAUUGAUUUCCAAACAGUGCAAACUCAAUAGUCACAGCUAUGAAGAAGUGUUCCGAAUACAGCAACACGUUUCUAAAUAGAGCCUAAACAAAACGAACAAAACAAAGAAAAGUUGUGAUUCAUUGUGAAGUUAGGCCAAUUGUGCAGAACAGGGAAUGAGAUGCAAUAGCAGAGGUAGCCAACCUAGUGCCCCCUAUUCCUUUUUUUUUAAAAAAAAAUAGUUUUAUUAGAGAUUUUCUUGGCUACAAAACAAACAAAUAAACAGGGGAAAGUGCAUAUAGCAUCUCCACUUUUGAUUUAUGGAGUCUUUUUCACAGUUCAUUUGUGUUUUGUAUGAGACACUAUCAUUCUAGAUACAGUUGGGGGAGAAAGAGAGGAGAGUGAUAGGAGGGUGCUGUUCUUUUGUUCUAUUGCAUUGUAUUGCAUUGCAUUUGUGUAGGGUAUUGUGUCAGAGACCUUGCUGACAAAGGUCCGUAUAGUUAAAGCUAUGGUUUUCCCAGUAGUGAUGUAUGGAAGUGAGAGCUGGAUCAUAAAGAAGGCUGAUUGCCAAAGAAUUGAUGCUUUUGAAUUAUGGUGCUGGAGGAGACUCUUGAGAGUCCCAUGGACUGCAAGAGGAUCAAACCUAUCCAUUCUGAAAGAAAUCAGCCCUGGGUGCUCACUGGAAGGACAGAUCCUGAAGCUGAGGCUCCAAUACUUUGGCCACCUCAUGAGAAGAGAAGACUACCUUGAAAAGACCCUGAUGUUGUGAAAGAUUGAGGGCACAAGGAGAAGGGGGCGACAGAGGACGAGAUGGUUAGACAGUGUUCUUGAAGCUACUAACAUGAGUUUGACCAAACUGCAGGAGGCAGUGGAAGACAGGAGUGCCUGGUGUGCUCUGGUCCAUGGGGUCACGAAGAGUCGGACACAACUAAACGACAACAACAACAACUUGUCAGCACCAUGUGGGUAUGUAUUUUAUUUGUGCCUCUAUUUAAUUUUUAUUGGCAUUGUGAGAGAUUCCCCCAGGUGCUUUUCUUUACCACAACUCUGAGCAGCCCCAGACACCACUGCUAAUGGGUCAGGGAUUUGGGGAGCUGAAAUCCACCACAUCUGGUGGACACCAUGAUAGCUGGCUACCCUUGUGCAAUAGUAUGGUGCCAUGUAAAAUAAAAAGUUGUCAGCAAUGGGUGGGGACUAGAGAAGAGCCCUAUUCAGCACAAUUUACAAGGGGAAGUCACUCAGCAACGUGAAUAGAAAAUGAGAACUAUAGCUACCGGUAGCUGUUGGACAUGAGCUACAAUCCCAAAUAGGAACAACCCAGGAAGCUGCAAUAUAGUGAGUUGGACCAUUGGUCCAUCUUGUGCAGCAAAUUCACUAGCAAUCUGUUUAUGCAUUCUCUUGCACAACAAUGUUCUUUGAGCGCAAAGCAUUUCAACAGUGAGACAAAUGUACCAUUGAGUGACUUUAACUUAGUGCUACAUUGGAUAUAACCCACUGUGCUCAGUGAGAUUUGCUCCCGAGUAAAUAUGUUUAGGAUUGGAGCUUUUGAAUUCUCUACUUUUCAGCUGCUGUUGCUGCUUUUAAAAACCGACUCAUGAUUUCCUUAGUACUUUGCUGUUUGGAUCAAAUGUAACUUUUAAAAUUUUAUGUAACAUGAAGCAACUUCGAAAGCGUUUAAUGAAUGAAAGUGGAAUAGAAACAUUGCCAAUAAAUACAUAAAUAGAUAAGACUAGUGGAAGAGUCUAUUGAAACUAUCUGCAAAUGCAAAAGCUUCAAAAGGCAGUCUUCUGAACCAGGGGUGGCCCAUCAUAAUGUGGUCUUCCAGAUGUUCCUGGACUCCAACUCCCAUCUUCCAUGGUCAAUGGCCAUUCUGGCUAAGGCUAAUGGGUGUUGGGUAUCCAACCACAUCUGGGGGGCAUAUGUUAGCCACUCUGGGAGGAAUUCAAUGUAGCUUUAAUGUGUUUCACCUUCCCAGAUGUAAUGAUCUCUCCUCUUCUUCUGCUGUGCACUGUCCUGGGAGUUCCCCCGACACCUCACUGGAGUUAAUUUGGUGUGUGUGUGCUGGGGUGGGGUGGGGACAGGGAACAAAAAGUCCUGUUGCACUAGCAGAAGAACUUGAAACUGGCCCCCUGAUCUAGCGUGGUUCACUAAAGAAGAGAGAACUCACUGGGGUAUUAAUGACGUUAUUCCCACUCUUGGUAGAACUGUUCUCUCAUUUCCAACAGAUUUUUCUUUUCUUUUCCUGGCAACAGUCCUUCUUUAAAUGGGUAGUUUAACUUCAUCCGGGAAGACAAUACGACCCCAAAUGUCACUUAGCCAGCUCACAAAUCUCUCUUUAUCUUGCCUUCCCCACAAAGGUUGCCCCCAGAAUUUUGUAGACUAAACAGAAAGGAUGUGUAAUAGCUAAUACAAAAGGGUGGGAACAGGCAGGGCAUUGAGACUGAAUGACACUUAAAAUGAACAGGAGGCCCAUUUGGAGGGUGGGGUGGGGGGUGAAAUUAAGUCUAUCUAGUAACUGCAGUGAAGGAUGAAUAAUGCUUCUUAAGAAAGCCUUCUGUAUCUAGGAGCAAUCUUUUGGAUUUUGUCACUUGGUCCACCCAUUUAGUCUUGCCUAAGUAACAGCUUCCAACUUUCCAUCUCUCUUUAGAACCGAGGGCGGCUAACCUGUGGCCCUUCAGGUGUUCUUGGGAGCUCUCCUACCAUCAGCCAUGGCCAGCAUGGCCAAUGGUCAGGGAUGAUGGGAGCAAGGAGUCCAGCAACAUCCGGAGGGUCACAGGUUCCCCACCCCUAUUCUAGAGUGACAAAAACACAUGAGCUGGAAUAGGGGUGAAAGGAGGCAAAAACUGCCUUUCGCCCCACUUGUUAGAGCCCCACAGAUAUGCUAAUAUUGUCCUGCAGCACCUGGAAAACCAACGAAUGGAUCGCAGCAUAGGUUUUCAUAUACUAGAGCACACCUUGUCACAGUUACAAAGUCUUAUAUGCAAUUGCAGGUGUAGAUGUGUGUUGGGAAUCAAG